Molecule: ribosomal RNA, 118 nt
Filed under: Sorex araneus (European shrew)
Lineage: Eukaryota; Metazoa; Chordata; Mammalia; Eulipotyphla; Soricidae
Source: RNAcentral
UAUGGCCAUACCACCCUGAACGAGUCCAAUCUCGUCUAAUCUUGGAAGCUAAGCACGGCCGGGCCUGGUUAGUACUUGGAUGGGAGUCCAAUAGUCUGCAUCUGGGUACUGGCUGUAU